GCCGGAAUAGCUCAGUUGGCAGAGCAGUGGCUUCGUAAGCAAUUGGUCGGUGGCCGUGUGACGGACCCCGUGUGACGGCCCAGUCGACUCCACGUUCCGGCA
Molecule: transfer RNA, 102 nt
Filed under: Pseudomonadales bacterium
Lineage: Bacteria; Pseudomonadati; Pseudomonadota; Gammaproteobacteria; Pseudomonadales
Description: tRNA-Thr
Rfam family: tRNA
About the family: Transfer RNA (tRNA) molecules are approximately 80 nucleotides in length. Their secondary structure includes four short double-helical elements and three loops (D, anti-codon, and T loops).
Source: RNAcentral